GGGAUGAAGGCCUUCGGGUUGUAAACUGCUUUUGUACGGAACGAAAAGGCUCUGGUUAAUACCUGGGGCCCAUGACGGUACCGUAAGAAUAAGCACCGGCUAACUACGUGCC
Molecule: ribosomal RNA, 112 nt
Filed under: uncultured bacterium
Lineage: Bacteria
Description: partial 16S ribosomal RNA
Rfam family: Bacterial small subunit ribosomal RNA
Source: RNAcentral